GAUCAGGGGGCUCAGGACGAACGCUGGCGGCGCGCCUAACACAUGCAAGUCGAACGAGCGAGAGAGAGCUUGCUUUCUCAAGCGAGUGGCGAACGGGUGAGUAACGCGUGAGGAACCUGCCUCAAAGAGGGGGACAACAGUUGGAAACGACUGCUAAUACCGCAUAAGCCCACGGCUCGGCAUCGAGCAGAGGGAAAAGGAGCAAUCCGCUUUGAGAUGGCCUCGCGUCCGAUUAG
Molecule: ribosomal RNA, 236 nt
Filed under: uncultured bacterium
Lineage: Bacteria
Description: partial 16S ribosomal RNA
Rfam family: Bacterial small subunit ribosomal RNA
Source: RNAcentral